AACUUCCUCAGUAUCGCAAAAAAGUUUUUACGCUCUCUUGAGAUGGAUUUUUGAAAUGUUGAAAGAGAGUUUAUGCACAAAAUGGGUAAUGGAAACCCAUUUGUCAAAUAAAUAAUGACGUAGCAAACAUUUAACUCACAUGACUGAUCAGCUGUUUCCACUCUCAGUGUCUUCUGGCCUCUACAGAUAGAAUGAAGCAUUGCCAAUACUAGCUAACAUGAAAGAACAAUGACUACUUGCCCAAUUUAAACAAAUUCCUGAAGACCUCUCUCCAUUUUUCUCUCGUCAAGUCAAUAUAACUAUUUGUUUUGUUUCUGGUUGGCAUUCUCUACUUCGUCUACUCUGUGUACUGGCUCAUUAUUUAAGCCUAUACCAUUAUCUGCUGAUGAAACUAUGCAUUGCAUAGCUUACUUUAUUCAAACCAGUUGAUGGAUGCAUUUUUCUUUUUGCAACAUUUCAAAAGUUCGCUUAAAGUUAUCUUGCGAAUCUAAUGGAAACACAGCUAUAGACUCACAGUAUUUCGGACACUUACUGCACUACAUUUGCCUUGAUGCCUUAAUACCUGCACACACAAACAAAGAUGAUUACUUGCCUCAUCUCUGGGAGAAGUUCUUACGAUUCAAAACAAGGUGGAUUGACGCCUGUUGGACCAAUCAUUUGAGAGAAAUCAUGAAAAUAUUACCAAGAGACACAGUGUAGAGAGCACUGUGAGCACUCACGGUAAUCCCACCAUGUGCUGUUGUCAACUCACAGUAUCUCGGACAGCUUAUUAUUCAUUAUUGUGUAAUACAAUAAUGAAUAAUAAGUCAUUAAAUUAACAACAGAAGAUGGAACAAGAAACAUCAGAUACAGGUAAAACAAAAAUGAAGUGUCUCAGUUUUAUGUGUAUGUGUGUGUGUGUGUGUGUGUGUGUGAAAAUUAAAUAUUUAACAAAACUAUUUUGAUAAUCUAUAUACAGUUUAUUCCUUUUUCAGACAGUGUCUCGUCUCCCUCACACAGUCAGGCCAUACUUGUGGCACAAACACAAGUAUGCUCCCCAUCUGGAGCAUCACUGAGGUCGACACAGACGAGCUGAAACCACAGCUCACACAAUUCACACUGUACCCAGUCAUCCACCUCUGCCUCAGACCCUGGUGGUGUAAUGUUCCUGCACACUGCACAGUGGUCGCUCACUGUUUUCAGCAAGAGAAUUUCUCUCUCUUUCUCUUCUCUUUUUUUCUCUAUCUUGGCCCUUUUUUCUCUCUUUAUUUCUUGCUCUUCUUUCCUCUUUUUAUUCAUCUCUUGUUUUUUCUUCUCUGCAGCAUUCAAUUUUUGCAGGAUGGCAUUAUAUUUGUCACUGGUGACAUCCCUUGCUUGCAGGGGCACCCAUCGUCCGCCCCUUCCUGUGGUGUCAAAGGUGGGUGUGACGAGGAUCGUGGCAAGGGAAGGAGGGAUGAGACCACUGUCAACUAGAUAAUUUCCGUUGUCCCUUUUACAUGUAGGGCAAGUUUUUGGUGUCACAGGAGAAGUUGAUGAGGUUUCUGGGGAUGGAGCUGCAGUGGAGGAGCAAAGAACCAUCUCCUUGGACUUUGGCUUAUCACCAAACCCUGUUUCAUCACAUUUCCAUACAAGGUCUGGACUAGAACUUUUUUCAUGGUUCAAGUGGUCAUAUUUCAGGCAGACUGAAGCAUCCAUCUCCUCUGCUGCUAUUGGAGGCUCAUUUACAUGAAAUACAGUGAUCACAUGGAGCAUGACAUCCUUUCAUCUUUUCUCACCCUGUGUUAUAUUCUUGUUCCUGUCUUCUUGUUCAACAUUCAGACGAGCUGUAGACAACAUUAAUGGAUGAAAACUUUGUCCUCUCAGUUUCACUGAGCCUCCUUAUUGAAGUUUGUGCCUAAUCAUGAGGAACGGAGGAAAGCAGAAAAACAACUCAGUGUCAUAGAGCUUUCUUAGACCAGCGAGAUUAGAGUGUAAAACUAAUGUGAUGGGUUAUUUUUCUGCCUGAUAUGAUGUCUGCCUCUCUCUCAGGGAGCCUCUCACCAGACAAAUGGUUCCUUUGCAUAAAACGUAGCCUUCUGCAACUUUAUGUUACACUAGAAAGCGAGUAUGAAUGGCCAAAUGCCAAGCACUGCAUAUAUUAGCAUUCAGUAAAAUCUGCCCUGGCUGCCGCAUACAUGGAACAUUAGUCUAUUCUUUAUCCAACAUCAUCUUAAACACCAUUUAUCACAGUGGAAGAAUAAUAGACUUAUGUUAGUUUCUCAAAUGCCCUUCUGGGUCCAGACCUGUGUGCCGAGCCCCGGAGAGAGGAUAGAGGAAGUCUAUUUGCUCUAAUUAAACUGAUUACAAUGUGCUCACUCUAUGGGGGCUGAAAUAAAUAAAUAAUUGCAGCCUUGUAGGCACAGGUCAGUAGAUAAUGGGUAGGUUUUGCUGAUAAUUAGCUCUAAAUGGUUUAAGUACAGUACCUUUCACUGAGAGUCAAGCCAGGCAUGAUGCCUUGUUUUACUGCAGGAUUUAGAACUGUGUGAUGCUCAACACCUGAUAUGACUGUUAUCAGCCUAUUGAAUAGGUGUUAUCGUCACACAUCUGUCCCAAAUAUAUGGGCUAGUAGGGGCCUACUAAACCUACUGGUAGGUUCAGGAGGCUGUUAUCACUCAUUUAUUUCAGUGAGCCAAUGCUGGUGGAGCCCAGUAGGUGCAGAAGGCCUGAUAUCAGACAUACAGUAUGCUGUCACGUGACUGUCAAGUUUUUUUCUGUGAAAACAAAACAAAAAAA
Molecule: long non-coding RNA, 2751 nt
Organism: Thunnus maccoyii (southern bluefin tuna)
Lineage: Eukaryota; Metazoa; Chordata; Actinopteri; Scombriformes; Scombridae
Exons: 4
Source: RefSeq, a predicted model, not a curated record